CAAGCCGGCCAUAGCGUCAGGGCGCGACCCAACCCCUUUCCGAACUUGGAAGUCAAACCUGGCGUCGCUGUCGUGGUACUAAGAUGCGAGAGCCCUUGGGAAGCGGCAGUGCUGGCAUCG
Molecule: ribosomal RNA, 120 nt
Filed under: Candidatus Nitrosopumilus sp.
Lineage: Archaea; Thermoproteati; Nitrososphaerota; Nitrososphaeria; Nitrosopumilales; Nitrosopumilaceae
Source: RNAcentral